This 2893-nucleotide ribosomal RNA is filed under the name Salmonella enterica subsp. enterica serovar Enteritidis. Its description in RNAcentral is "bacterial LSU rRNA". It matches the Rfam family "Bacterial large subunit ribosomal RNA". Lineage: Bacteria; Pseudomonadati; Pseudomonadota; Gammaproteobacteria; Enterobacterales; Enterobacteriaceae. The record is from RNAcentral.
ACUAAGCGUACACGGUGGAUGCCCUGGCAGUCAGAGGCGAUGAAGGGCGUGCUAAUCUGCGAUAAGCGCCGGUAAGGUGAUAUGAACCGUUAUAACCGGCGAUACCCGAAUGGGGAAACCCAGUGUGACUCGUCACACUAUCAUUAACUGAAUCCAUAGGUUAAUGAGGCGAACCGGGGGAACUGAAACAUCUAAGUACCCCGAGGAAAAGAAAUCAACCGAGAUUCCCCCAGUAGCGGCGAGCGAACGGGGAGGAGCCCAGAGCCUGAAUCAGCAUGUGUGUUAGUGGAAGCGUCUGGAAAGGCGCGCGAUACAGGGUGACAGCCCCGUACACAAAAGCGCAUGUGCUGUGAGCUCGAUGAGUAGGGCGGGACACGUGGUAUCCUGUCUGAAUAUGGGGGGACCAUCCUCCAAGGCUAAAUACUCCUGACUGACCGAUAGUGAACCAGUACCGUGAGGGAAAGGCGAAAAGAACCCCGGCGAGGGGAGUGAAAAAGAACCUGAAACCGUGUACGUACAAGCAGUGGGAGCACCCUUUGGGUGUGACUGCGUACCUUUUGUAUAAUGGGUCAGCGACUUAUAUUCUGUAGCAAGGUUAACCGAAUAGGGGAGCCGGAGGGAAACCGAGUCUUAACCGGGCGUUAAGUUGCAGGGUAUAGACCCGAAACCCGGUGAUCUAGCCAUGGGCAGGUUGAAGGUUGGGUAACACUAACUGGAGGACCGAACCGACUAAUGUUGAAAAAUUAGCGGAUGACCUGUGGCUGGGGGUGAAAGGCCAAUCAAACCGGGAGAUAGCUGGUUCUCCCCGAAAGCUAUUUAGGUAGCGCCUCGUGAAUUCAUCUCCGGGGGUAGAGCACUGUUUCGGCUAGGGGGCCAUCCCGGCUUACCAACCCGAUGCAAACUGCGAAUACCGGAGAAUGUUAUCACGGGAGACACACGGCGGGUGCUAACGUCCGUCGUGAAGAGGGAAACAACCCAGACCGCCAGCUAAGGUCCCAAAGUCAUGGUUAAGUGGGAAACGAUGUGGGAAGGCCCAGACAGCCAGGAUGUUGGCUUAGAAGCAGCCAUCAUUUAAAGAAAGCGUAAUAGCUCACUGGUCGAGUCGGCCUGCGCGGAAGAUGUAACGGGGCUAAACCAUGCACCGAAGCUGCGGCAGCGACACUGUGUGUUGUUGGGUAGGGGAGCGUUCUGUAAGCCUGUGAAGGUGUGUCGUGAGGCAUGCUGGAGGUAUCAGAAGUGCGAAUGCUGACAUAAGUAACGAUAAAGCGGGUGAAAAGCCCGCUCGCCGGAAGACCAAGGGUUCCUGUCCAACGUUAAUCGGGGCAGGGUGAGUCGACCCCUAAGGCGAGGCCGAAAGGCGUAGUCGAUGGGAAACGGGUUAAUAUUCCCGUACUUGGUGUUACUGCGAAGGGGGGACGGAGAAGGCUAUGUUGGCCGGGCGACGGUUGUCCCGGUUUAAGCGUGUAGGUGUGUGUUCCAGGUAAAUCCGGUUCACUUUAACACUGAGGCGUGACGACGAGGCACUACGGUGCUGAAGCAACAAAUGCCCUGCUUCCAGGAAAAGCCUCUAAGCAUCAGGUAACAUCAAAUCGUACCCCAAACCGACACAGGUGGUCAGGUAGAGAAUACCAAGGCGCUUGAGAGAACUCGGGUGAAGGAACUAGGCAAAAUGGUGCCGUAACUUCGGGAGAAGGCACGCUGACACGUAGGUGAAGUGAUUUACUCAUGGAGCUGAAGUCAGUCGAAGAUACCAGCUGGCUGCAACUGUUUAUUAAAAACACAGCACUGUGCAAACACGAAAGUGGACGUAUACGGUGUGACGCCUGCCCGGUGCCGGAAGGUUAAUUGAUGGGGUCAGCGCAAGCGAAGCUCCUGAUCGAAGCCCCGGUAAACGGCGGCCGUAACUAUAACGGUCCUAAGGUAGCGAAAUUCCUUGUCGGGUAAGUUCCGACCUGCACGAAUGGCGUAAUGAUGGCCAGGCUGUCUCCACCCGAGACUCAGUGAAAUUGAACUCGCUGUGAAGAUGCAGUGUACCCGCGGCAAGACGGAAAGACCCCGUGAACCUUUACUAUAGCUUGACACUGAACAUUGAGCCUUGAUGUGUAGGAUAGGUGGGAGGCUUUGAAGUGUGGACGCCAGUCUGCAUGGAGCCGACCUUGAAAUACCACCCUUUAAUGUUUGAUGUUCUAACGUGGACCCGUUACCCGGGUUGCGGACAGUGUCUGGUGGGUAGUUUGACUGGGGCGGUCUCCUCCUAAAGAGUAACGGAGGAGCACGAAGGUUGGCUAAUCCUGGUCGGACAUCAGGAGGUUAGUGCAAUGGCAUAAGCCAGCUUGACUGCGAGCGUGACGGCGCGAGCAGGUGCGAAAGCAGGUCAUAGUGAUCCGGUGGUUCUGAAUGGAAGGGCCAUCGCUCAACGGAUAAAAGGUACUCCGGGGAUAACAGGCUGAUACCGCCCAAGAGUUCAUAUCGACGGCGGUGUUUGGCACCUCGAUGUCGGCUCAUCACAUCCUGGGGCUGAAGUAGGUCCCAAGGGUAUGGCUGUUCGCCAUUUAAAGUGGUACGCGAGCUGGGUUUAGAACGUCGUGAGACAGUUCGGUCCCUAUCUGCCGUGGGCGCUGGAGAACUGAGGGGGGCUGCUCCUAGUACGAGAGGACCGGAGUGGACGCAUCACUGGUGUUCGGGUUGUCAUGCCAAUGGCACUGCCCGGUAGCUAAAUGCGGAAGAGAUAAGUGCUGAAAGCAUCUAAGCACGAAACUUGCCCCGAGAUGAGUUCUCCCUGAGACUUAGAGUCUCCUGAAGGAACGUUGAAGACGACGACGUUGAUAGGCCGGGUGUGUAAGCGCAGCGAUGCGUUGAGCUAACCGGUACUAAUGAACCGUGAGGCUUAACC